This is a long non-coding RNA of Patella vulgata (common limpet), 3891 nucleotides long. RefSeq lists it as uncharacterized. The transcript is spliced from 5 exons. Lineage: Eukaryota; Metazoa; Mollusca; Gastropoda; Patellidae. The record is from RefSeq and is a predicted model, not a curated record.
CGGAAAUCGAAAGUUGGAUUAUUUACUUCCGCUUUAAAAGCAGUUUAAGGCACAACCCUCGGUGUUUUAACAUUUGGUCAAAGGAAUAAUAAGACAGUAAUUUAAAUUACUAGAAGUUAUUACAUUUAUUUUGGUGAAAACUUGUGAAGUGGCAUAAUAGAUGAAGAUCAUGAACAGGAAUUUAGAUGAAGAUGCUGUACCAGCUGAAGAGGGGGUUGUCAGAGGAGCAAGUUUAACAUACACGACACCGGAAGGAGCCAGAUAUAACAUCAACACAGGUACACCUCAUAUUGCUGGAAAUGUACAAAUAGGUACUGGUAUGGUAAUGAAUAUUAAAUCUAAUCAAUCAACACUGCCUAAUAUUAAGGCAAAAAAGCCAUUAUCAACAAGAAUGGACAUUGUACCACAAAAAUUGUUAGAUGAUAUAGCUCAAGAUAUUAAAACCAAAGAUGCUGAAAGACUUGGAAAAUACCUUGGAUUAACCGAAGCUAAAAUAGACGAGAUUGACCAAAAUUAUAAGAGAGAUGGAGCAAGAGAGAUUAAAUAUCAAAUAUUAGCGGAAUGGAAAAGGAAAGAUGAAAGCCCAACGAUAAAAAAAAUAGCUAAAGGACUCAGUACCAUUGGUAGAGGAGAUAUAGCAGAUAAAGUUCCACAUUGAUUCUAGAAUUAAAUUUAAAUGGGAAGUCCAGUCAUUGCUGUUCUCUAUAUUUUAUUAUUAUCUAGUAUUGAGAUAGUUUCAACCAUACUCUACAAAAAGUUUCAAAUCAUACUCUACAAAUAGUUUCAAUCAUACUCAACAAAUAGUUUCAAACAUACUCUACAAAUAGUUUCAAACAUACCAUACAAAUAGUUUUUGUCUUUAAUAAAUGUGCCAGCUGUGUAACUUUCAUUUCCAUUGUAAACAAAGCAACGCACAUGCUAUAUUAGCCUUCAUUCCAGUGACUUCAUUUGUGUAUUCACCCAGUCACUAUAAUGAGUGCAUGGUUCGGUUUAUUCCCAGAUAAGAUCACAGCCAACAUCUCAGUUUGUUAAUUAAAGGCAAAAUGAAAUUUUGUGGAAAUAAUUUUAACAGAUAAUGAAAAAGUAUAAAGAAUUUACAACUACUGGAAUUCUUCUUUAAUGUGAUGUGAAUCUGACUUUUUAUUGUGAUAAAGGACUGAAGAGUACUGUAUUUUUUGGUAAAGAAAACAAACCAAUAUGACUGGUGACAUUGUUAUUAAUGAUAGUGUUAUUUUAAAGGAUCUGGAACAGAUAACUGGAGAUGAAUUUUUACAAUGUUUUGUAUUCAGUUCAUACUUAGCCUUUCAAAUGGCAAAGUAAAUGUUUUUUUCUUCAUGUUAAUUUUCUGUGAAGUAAGGAGGGUUAUUGAAAAUGAUUAAUGUUACUAGUAAGAAGUCUACCUGAACAAAUGUCUUUAGAGCAGGGAACUUAAUUGACUGUUUAUUGUCAGAUAUAUCUGUUUGAUGUUUGAAACUGCUGAUUGAAAAAACAAUGAACUAGCCACUAUCUUAUUGUAAAUCAAUCUACGUACAAUACGGUUGGGUGAUAUACCGGUAUUUCGGUAUAUUGUGAUCGGACUUACUUAGAAAAUAUCGAAAAACCGGUAUACUGUGACAACCAAAAUUAUCGCGAUGAUAAUUAUCGUGUCCCAAUAUAGAUGAUAAUUGGCAAUGCAAGAGGUCACAACUGAUACAAGGACUCGUAAUCGAGGAACACUAUGGUCAAGGUUGGACAGUAUUUACCCCGGUUACUUACUGUCACUGUCUUGUUUAUCGUAAUAUUUGAUAAAUUUUUAUCACAAUAUUUUUUUUCCAUUAUUGCCCAACCCUGACAUGCAGCUUGAUAAAACUUUUAAUUAAGAAGUCAAUCGAUAUGUCAGCUGUAGUCUAUACUCCUUAACAGUUAUACCUUAGCGAGAAUUGACACAUUGUUUAUAAUCCACGAGUUGGGUGGCCGAAUGGAUUAAUGCGUGCAAGUUAAAUGGUAAUGUCUGUCAUUGAGUUAAGGGGUGUGGUUUCGAUUCUUUGCUUGUAAAAUUGAAUAAUAUGUUAGUUCCGAAAUGACAUAGUUUGUAUCACGUGGACAUAAAACCCCCUGUCAUUCAUUUCUGUUCAUAAUCCAAGUAAUUAGCCCAUUUAUCAGUAAUUUUGAUAAUCAUGUAAAAAUAGAUAUUUUAUUUCCACGACAAAGAAUUUAUCUUGUCUCCUGUUUGCAGUGGCGGCGCCCCCCCAAUAAUUUUAGAAAAUAAAAAAAAGUAUUUGUGAUACGUUUUGGUAAUCAAUACCGUCUACGGUGAAUAAAUCCCACAUCCCCACUCAGUCAUAAACUUGCAUGUUGUAGAGCAUUUCCAACAGUCUAUUUUUCAAAAUUUUCUUGGCGAGGUCCCCAAUGGACUCGCUACUUUGGCGCUCACAAGGGGAAUUCGUUGAGGUUCGCAUGUCCGUUCGUUUGACAUUUUGUUCUCUAGUCGGAUAAACUAGUGAUCAGGCGACAAACGGUAUCUGGGCAGAUCUAUUUAUCUCGACGAUCGGUGCCUGACAGAAUACCGUAAGACAGCAUUUGCGGCAGUCUAUUUUUCAAUAUUUUCUGGGGGAGGACUCCCUACUUUGACGCUCGUGAGUGGGCUUCGUCCUGAUUCGCAAGUCCGUUCGUUUGACACUUUACCUCAUCGAUCAGUGCCUGAAAUACUGCCAGGCUGCAUUUUCGGCAACCUGUUUUUCAAAAUUUUCUGGGGGAGGCACCCUACCCCUAGUUGAAGCUCGUGCCUUUGCCCCCUUAAAGUAGCUAAGUCUUUAACUCAAUAUCAUCAAAAAUCUUCGACAUUGAAAACACCAUUUAUUUGUCGCUUUAAAUCAACAUUGAUGUUGUGAUCUUACCGGGAAAAGAUAACCUUCUGAUAUCCAAUAUUUAAGACAAAAUAAACAUUUUACAUUGUACCAUAAUGUGUUUCAGCCCUAUUUGUAAUAAGGGACUCGAAAAACGUGGCUAGGCAUAUUCCACAAGUCAUGUCAAACGGUGACGCUAUAUUCUUAUCUGGAGAGCAUGCCCAAUAAAUACUAUCGGCGUAGACUGGGAAAACCAGACGCUAGAGAUUGACAUUCGAUUGAGAAUACUGACGUAUUUCGCCGAACCUAACUGAUUAGAAAUUACAGUAAAAACAGAAACGAUUGAAUGUAAAUCAAUUUAUAUGCAUUCAUAUUACAUUAUUGUAUGCGUUGCGACCCAUUUGUGUCAUUUUCUAGGUCCCAAAUAUUAGCGACUUGGCUCCUUUAACCCUGGCCAUUGCCCCAGCUUUGCCCCUCCAAUCACCGACGGCUGGCGCCGCCACUGCCUGUUUGUUACUUUAAGACAGUGAGAUAGAUAUGGGAUUUAACUUUACAUCAACACAAACUAGGUCAUUUUGGGACUGACAUGGAUAUUUUAUGACGGCAGUUCGCUUGAAACAUUGGAAGAAAAGCAGAAAUCUGGAGCGAAACCCAUGACUCAACUUACAGGGAAGAAACUAACAUCAUACCUCAUCAUGAUCUUUACACGUGCCUUAGACUGCUUGUGACACCCCAUCCUUGUUAGAUCAAAAGAACCUUUCAUUCGGGAUGGACGGGGAAGUUGUCUAGUGGCUGUGUUGCUCAUUAGAAGAUCUAUCAUCCAUGCAAGAUGUUGAUCAAUUGAGUGGAUGUUAAACCCAAUUUCCUUGCUUUCCUCCUUCAAAAUUAUUACGUCUCAGGCUCAAUAGCAGAAAUCAUCUUACAAUGUUUGAAUGUUUUUUCAUUUCAACAGGCUUAGAUGAAGCAACAAGAUGUGUUCCAGUCCACACUUUCACUGUUUUCGAUCUGAACUAACUCCUCUAACUACUCCUGUAAAACUGUUUAUUAAAAGUUUAUUUUUGAGUUA